RNAcentral lists this ribosomal RNA (253 nucleotides) under uncultured bacterium. Its description in RNAcentral is "partial 16S ribosomal RNA". It matches the Rfam family "Bacterial small subunit ribosomal RNA", at positions 524 to 776 of the family's 1533-position model. The record is from RNAcentral.
GACGGAGGAUGCAAGCGUUAGCCGGUAUGAUUGGGCGUAAAGCGUUCGCAGGUGGCUGUUCAAGUCUGCUGUCAAAGACCGGGGCUUAACCCUAGAAAGGCAGUGGAAACUGGACGGCUGGAGUGCAGUAUGGGUAGAGGGAAUUCCCAGUGUAGCGGUGAAAUGCGUAGAGAUUGGGAAGAACACCGGUGGCGAAAGCGCUCUGCUGGACUGCAACUGGCACUGAGGGACGAAAGCUAGGGGAGCGAAAAGG